GGAAGCGAUUAAGAGCGUAUGGGGAAUGCCUAGGCUCUCAGAGACGACGAAGGACGUGGUAAGCUGCGAAAAGCUGCGGGGAGAUGCAAACAAUCUUUGAUCCGCAGAUGUCCGAAUGGGGCAACCCCUAUGGUUGAAGACCAUAGACCCAGCAAUGGGAGAAAACCCGGAGAACUGAAACAUCUAAGUAACCGGAGGAACAGAAAUCAACGAGAUUCCCUUAGUAGUGGCGAGCGAACAGGGAAUAGCCCAUUAAGUUAUUUGGCAAGUAGUGGAAGUAGACUGGAAAGCUACACCAUAGAAAGUGAAAGUCUUGUACACGAAACGAACCAGAUAGUGAAUUGAGUAGGGCGGGACACGUGAAAUCCUGUCUGAAAAUGGGGGGACCACCCUCCAAGGCUAAAUACUCCUGAGAGACCGAUAGUGAACCAGUACCGUGAGGGAAAGGUGAAAAGGACCCCGAAAAGGGGAGUGAAAAGACCCUGAAACCAUACGCUUACAAGCGGUCGGAGCUCUGCCCGUACGGGCGGGGUGACGGCGUGCCUUUUGCAUAAUGAUCCUACGAGUUGCUCCUGGCUAGCAAGUUUAAUUCCGAAGAAAGGAAGGAGGCGCAGCGAAAGCAAGUCUGAAUAGGGCGAAUAGCUAGUCGGGGCAGACGCGAAACCACGGUGAUCUACCCAUGGGCAGGUUGAAGGUUGGAUAAUCUCCAACUGGAGGACCGAACCGGUGUACGUUGAAAAGUGCUCGGAUGACCUGUGGGUAGGGGUGAAAGGCUAAUCAAACCUGGAGAUAGCUCGUACUCCCCGAAAUGCAUUGAGGUGCAGCGUUGGGAAUUCUGUAUUGGAGGUAGAGCUACCAAUAAGGCUAGGGGGCUUCGCGGCCUACCAACCCUUGAUGAACUCCGAAUGCCAGUACAGAGAACCAGCAGUGAGGCGCGGGGUGCUAAGGUCACGCGCCGAGAGGGAAACAACCCAGAACAACAGCUAAGGUCCCUAAGUAUACGUUAAGUUGAUCUAACGAUGUGAGGAUGCUUUGACAGCUAGGAUGUUGGCUUGGAAGCAGCCAUUCAUUUAAAGAGUGCGUAACAGCUCACUAGUCGAGCGUUCUUGCGCGGAAAAUGAUCGGGCAUUAAACGUAUCACCGAAGCAUUGUGCUCUACGGAGCGGUAGGGGAGCAUUCUACUUGCGUCGAAGCCGUAUCGCGAGGUAUGGUGGAGCGAGUAGAAAAGAAAAUGUAGGAAUGAGUAACGAUAAAUGCGGUCAGAAACCGCAUCGCCGUAAGACUAAGGUUUCCUGGAUCGAUGUUCGACAGACCAGGGUGAGUCGGGACCUAAGGAAAACCCGAAAGGGGUAUUCGAUGGCAAACAGGUUAAUAUUCCUGUACCAGUUUACAAUAAAAGGGGACGGAGAUCCAAGCUGAUUGCGCACUGACGGAAUAGUGCGUUGAACCCUGCAAAGCAGGGGAUAGUACCCCAAACCCGCAAGGGUGAGGGGAUAAUGUCAGGGAGGGUCUUCCAAGAAAAGCCGAAGUAAACUGCUCGUACCGUAAACCGACACAGGUAGUCGAGGAGAGUAUCCUCAGGCGCUCGAAUGAUUCAUGGCUAAGGAACUAGGCAAAUUAGACGCGUAACUUCGGGAUAAGCGUCCCCCGCCUUUGGCGGGGCGCAGUGAAACGGCCCAGGCGACUGUUUAGCAAAAACACAGGACUCUGCUAAUUCGAAAGAAGAUGUAUAGGGUCUGACACCUGCCCGGUGCUGGAAGGUUAAGGAAGGGGGUUAGUCCGCAAGGACGAAGCUCUUGACUGAAGCCCCAGUAAACGGCGGCCGUAACUAUAACGGUCCUAAGGUAGCGAAAUUCCUUGUCGGGUAAGUUCCGACCUGCACGAAUGGUGUAACGAUCUGGGCACUGUCUCAGCCAUGAGUUCGGUGAAAUUGAAGUAUCGGUGAAGAUGCCGGUUACCCGCAACGGGACGAAAAGACCCCGUGCACCUUUACUACAGCUUCACAUUGAGCUUGAGUCUAAGAUGUGUAGCAUA
RNAcentral lists this ribosomal RNA (2034 nucleotides) under activated sludge metagenome. RNAcentral's name for it is "bacterial LSU rRNA". It matches the Rfam family "Bacterial large subunit ribosomal RNA", at positions 1 to 2145 of the family's 2925-position model. The record is from RNAcentral.